UACGAAGGGGGCUAGCGUUGCUCGGAAUCACUGGGCGUAAAGGGCGCGUAGGCGGCCGAUCAAAUCAGGGGUGAAAUCCUGGAGCUCAACUCCAGAACUGCCUUUGAUACUGGGAAGCUUGAGUCCGGAAGAGGUGAGUGGAACUCCGAGUGUAGAGGUGAAAUUCGUAGAUAUUCGGAAGAACACCAGUGGCGAAGGCGGCUCACUGGUCCGGUACUGACGCUGAGGUGCGAAAGCGUGGGGAGCAAACAGG
This 253-nucleotide ribosomal RNA is filed under the name uncultured bacterium. Its description in RNAcentral is "partial 16S ribosomal RNA". It matches the Rfam family "Bacterial small subunit ribosomal RNA", at positions 524 to 776 of the family's 1533-position model. The record is from RNAcentral.